This is a long non-coding RNA of Xenia sp. Carnegie-2017, 904 nucleotides long. RefSeq lists it as uncharacterized. The transcript has 3 exons. The record is from RefSeq and is a predicted model, not a curated record. Lineage: Eukaryota; Metazoa; Cnidaria; Anthozoa; Malacalcyonacea; Xeniidae.
UACAUGCUCGUGGUAACCAUGCUUUAACUAAAAGGCCUGACGAUUUUCUUGAAGUGCCAAAGAACUCUCAGUUGGCUUAUUGUUCAAAUUCUGAGAAUUCAAGUCUUUCUUCCACAAUGGCGAAAUCCAACGUUGAGAACAAGGAGAAUGAAACAGAUGAACAAGUGGCUCGAUUAACAAAGAAAAGCCAGGAAGUUCUGCAUCUUAAAGACGAGUUUAAAACUGCGAAUGAUUUGAAAAAAAAAUCCUUCUUUGACAACAUCUUUGCAAUCAGGGCGUUACACUGACUCAUCGCUCUUGUCGGAGGAAGUGUUUGAGCCCCUUGUUGAUAUGAACAGCGGUGUAUCUCUAAUUCCCGUUGUUUGCCCCGAUGACGAUAAAGGAGUUAGGGGUCUAGCUAUGUCAGAUGAAAAUGAGCGAUUUACUGUUGCACCUGAGACGUCGCGACAUUUAGAAGAUACUUCAUUAUUUUAUCGACAAGAAUUUCUAACGAGUUGACCAUUUUAACUGAGGUGGUAAUUUAUGUUGUUUUCAGUAUUUACACUGAUGAAGACGUCGAGAAUGAUGCAAGUUUAGCAAUAGAGGCAACUGUUGCAGCGAUAUGUGCCACACGUGAUGGUAGCAUAGAAAUUAAUGAUUACUCAGGAUCUUCAUUGGUCAGAACCAUGGGUGAUGGUUGUAUGAAUCCAUCAGAGGAAUAUCCAUCAGGCAAAGAAAUGACUUCAGAGGAAUUAAAACAGGCGAUUGUAUCGAUGAUGUUAAGAAAAGAUGAAGUUGAAGAACGUAACAGGUUGUAUUAUCGUCCUUCGUUUAAUAUUAACAUUCCAUUCGAAUAUACACUAUUUUGCCCUGAUUUUUCCUUCGGUCAUCUUUCCUGUAGAUCGUUACAACAACAUUUGGAAAA